Molecule: long non-coding RNA, 306 nt
Filed under: Pan troglodytes (chimpanzee)
Lineage: Eukaryota; Metazoa; Chordata; Mammalia; Primates; Hominidae
Description: lincRNA
Source: RNAcentral
UGGGCACCCCCAGUCUUUCCAUCCUCCUCAUUCGUCUAGGGGCACCCGAAUCCACUAUUCCUUAUUUCCCCUAUCACUCAGGCACUGGCAGGGUCCUUUGCUACUCCUGUUGGCCGCCGCGGCUCCAAAGCGAGAUGUGCCUGAGACAGGUUUGACCAGGCAACUGAAAAGACAUCCCUAAGGGAAGACAAAGCAAAGGUAUGAAAGGAACACAUGUCCCUGACUGACUAGGAGGAACAGAGCUGCCUGCUGUCUGGAACCGCUUCCUCCCAGACUAAGUGAGAAAUAAACUUCUGUUUUCUAUAU